This 306-nucleotide ribosomal RNA is filed under the name Triticum aestivum (bread wheat). RNAcentral's name for it is "partial small subunit ribosomal RNA". Lineage: Eukaryota; Viridiplantae; Streptophyta; Magnoliopsida; Poales; Poaceae. The record is from RNAcentral.
AUGAGUAAAGGAAAGGCUAAAGGAUUUCGUGAGGAUGAGCACGACACCUUAUGGUUUGAGGAUCGCAUAUAUGUGCCUAAUGACCCUGAGAUCAAGAAGUUGAUUCUACAAGAGGCCCAUGAUUCACCAUACUCGAUUCACCCAGGAAAUAUUAAGAUGUAUCUGGAUCUGAAGGAAAGUUUCUGGUGGACAGGAAUGAAGAAGGAUAUAGCCGAGAAUGUAGCAGUAUGUGAUGUAUAUCAUAGAGUCAAGGCAGAGCAUCAGAAACCAGCCGGAUUGCUACAGCCAUUACCGAUACCCGAAUAG